Molecule: non-coding RNA, 1647 nt
Organism: Odocoileus virginianus texanus
Lineage: Eukaryota; Metazoa; Chordata; Mammalia; Artiodactyla; Cervidae
Source: RefSeq, a predicted model, not a curated record
CUUUCCCAAGUUUGUGCGUAAAGAGAGAGGAGGAAAACUCAGAAGGAAGUGACUUGGCUUCAACAAGUUUGCUCCCAAAGCCUUUUUCCUCUGAUCUAGCUGAGACUGCUGUUCUAAGAGGAGCCCCCCAGACUCAGAGAAAACCCCCCACCUGCCAUCAGAGGCUGAAAAGGCUCUGGAAGAUUUUCCUGGCUCUUGUCUGUUCCAGCAACACCAGAGAUUCCGAAGCCCCUCCAUGAAUCCUCGGAAGAAGGUGGACCUCAAGCUCAUCAUCAUUGGAGCCCUGGGUGUUGGAAAGACCUCCCUCCUCCACCGAUAUGUGCAUAAGACGUUUUACGAAGACUAUCAGACCACACUGGGGGCCAGCAUCCUCUCCAAGAUUAUCAUACUGGAUGACACAACCUUGAAGCUACAGAUCUGGGACACAGGCGGCCAGGAGCGAUUCCGCUCCAUGGUGUCUACAUUCUACAAAGGCUCUGAUGGCUGUGUCCUGGCUUUUGAUGUCACUGACCUGGAGUCCUUCGAAGCCCUGGAAACCUGGCGGGGUGAUGUUCUGGCCAAAACCAUUCCAAUGGAGCAGUCCUACCCCAUGGUGGUGCUCGGGAACAAGAUAGAUCUGGCAGACCGGCAGGUACCGUCAGCUCAUUCAUCCACUCACCAAACACGUGAGGACCAGUUACAUGCCAGGCGCUGGGCUAAGUCCCACACAUACAGAGCUGAAGCGGGCAUAGUCCUUACCUUAAGAAUUUCACAGUCUAGUAAUGGAUGCAUUUUAAGGAUAAUUAUGAUGCAAUAAGGUAAAUCAUGAGCAGUCAUAGAGAACACCUUGGGGACCACAGUGAAAGGGCAUCUAUCUAGUCAACCCAGGGUAUAGCAAGGGCUUCCUAGAGGAAGUGGUUCCAGGCUAAAGAAACAGCAUGAGCAAAGAGAGAGGAAGAAUAAAGGUUUGAAAGAAGCAGUGAAGCCCCAGGCAAGCCCAACUCCGUCUCUGGGAUCUGUGCUGAACAGGGUGUGGAAGGAGCUCCCCCACCCCCCGACUGGAGAAGGCGACAGGAUUUGGAGGGGGGCCAGCCGGAGGAAGAGAGGUGAGGAAGUGCUCACAGGCAUGAAACGAGCACAGCAAAGUGCAGAGGAGGAACUGGGAGUGGGGCGCGCAGAGGGACUUUGAUCCAGAGACCCAGGGUGGGGAGCCAGAGGUGAGGCUGGGAGGUGGCCGCCCUCCAAGGGCACAGACCGGGCAGAGGAUGCCGCCAGCCCUGAGAGGCGAAGCCCGGGCUUGGGGAGCGGGCUGCAGAUAGUCCUCACUUGCACAGGGUUGAGUGGAUAAGGAGCACCUUCUCUGAGCUCAAAUUCAUGUGUGUCUUUGGCCAGUUCCAGCUUCUCUGUGAAACAGACACCAGACUCAGAUUUCAUGAGGUUAUCUGAGGCUCCGUAGGCAAUGAUGCCUAUAAAGCACAUGGCAAUCUUAAUACAUGAAAGAGAUUGUUCCCACCUUCUUAAUUUCAUAUCUCCAAUGUGUGGGCUGGGAAUAUAGAGAAGUUCUUCCUACUUACCAAAAAGAAAAUGAAUAUUUAAAACGUAGAUGCUAGAUGUGGCAUGAUGAAGUGUUAGUCGCUCAGUCAUGUCCAACUCUUUGCAACCCCAUGG